UACGUAGGGUGCGAGCGUUAAUCGGAAUUACUGGGCGUAAAGCGUGCGCAGGCGGUUCGUCGUGUCCGAUGUGAAAGCCCCGGGCUCAACCUGGGAAUGGCAUUGGAAACUGGUGGACUCGAGUGUGGCAGAGGGGGGUGGAAUUCCGCGUGUAGCAGUGAAAUGCGUAGAGAUGCGGAGGAACACCGAUGGCGAAGGCAGCCCCCUGGGCUAACACUGACGCUCAGGCACGAAAGCGUGGGGAGCAAACAGG
RNAcentral lists this ribosomal RNA (253 nucleotides) under uncultured bacterium. Its description in RNAcentral is "partial 16S ribosomal RNA". It matches the Rfam family "Bacterial small subunit ribosomal RNA", at positions 524 to 776 of the family's 1533-position model. The record is from RNAcentral.